AACGAACGCUGGCGGCAUGCCUAACACAUGCAAGUCGAACGAGACCUUCGGGUCUAGUGGCGCACGGGUGCGUAACGCGUGGGAACCUGCCCUUAGGUUCGGAAUAACUCCCCGAAAGGGGUGCUAAUACCAGAUAAUGUCUUCGGACCAAAGAUUUAUCGCCUUUGGAUGGGCCCGCGUUGGAUUAGCUAGUUGGUAGGGUAAAAGCCUACCAAGGCGACGAUCCAUAGCUGGUCUGAGAGGAUGAUCAGCCACACUGGGACUGAGACACGGCCCAGACUCCUACGGGAGGCAGCAGUGGGGAAUAUUGGACAAUGGGCGAAAGCCUGAUCCAGCAAUGCCGCGUGAGUGAUGAAGGCCUUAGGGUUGUAAAGCUCUUUUAACCGGGAUGAUAAUGACAGUACCGGGAGAAUAAGCGCCGGCUAACUCCGUG
Molecule: ribosomal RNA, 433 nt
Filed under: uncultured bacterium
Lineage: Bacteria
Description: partial 16S ribosomal RNA
Rfam family: Bacterial small subunit ribosomal RNA
Source: RNAcentral